AAAAGCUCGUAGUUGGAUUUCUGUCGAGGGUGGACGGUCCGCACUAUGUGCGUGUAUCUGUUACGGCCUUGGCAUCCUCUUGGGGAACGUGUCUGUGCUUGAUUGCAUGGCGCGGUAUUCAAGACUUUUACUUUGAGGAAAUUAGAGUGUUCACGGCAAGCAUAAGCUUUGAAUACAUUAGCAUGGAGUAAUAAUAUAGGACGUUCGCCCUAUUUUGUUGGUUUCUAGAGUGAGCGUAAUGAUUAAUAGGGAUAAUUGGGGGCAUUCGUAUUAACGCGUCAGAGGUGGAAUUCUUGGAUUGCGUUACGACGAACUACUGCGAAAGCAUUUGCCAAGGAUGUUUUCAUUGAUCAAGAACGAAAGUGUGGGGAUCGAAGACGAUUAGAUACCGUCGUAGUCUAUACCAUAAACUAUGCCAACUAGAGAUGGGGCGUCGUUCUUUUUAUGACUCGCUCUGCACCUUAUGAGAAAUCAAAGUUUUUGGGUUCCGGGGGGAGUAUGGUCGCAAGGCU
Molecule: ribosomal RNA, 512 nt
Filed under: uncultured Syndiniales
Lineage: Eukaryota; Dinophyceae; Syndiniales
Description: SSU rRNA
Rfam family: Eukaryotic small subunit ribosomal RNA
Source: RNAcentral